This 30-nucleotide non-coding RNA is filed under the name Rattus norvegicus (Norway rat). The record is from RNAcentral. Lineage: Eukaryota; Metazoa; Chordata; Mammalia; Rodentia; Muridae.
UCUUCAGUUAUAGAAUGGGUGCUUUUGUGC